UACCCUUUCCCUGGUCUCAAAUGCCUCAAUUUCUACAACUUCGGAUUUCUAGGUUGACUAUUUUGUUAAGAAGACCACACCUUAAGCUGUGAAAUUCUGGAGCCACCAAACAAUGUUAUUUACUUGACAGAUUCUGCCUAGUAAUUGUCUAAGAUACAGAUGAAAAUUGAUCACUAAUGAAGACCGUUAACUCAAAACCUGGCCAUAUCUCGUAUAACAAGGGUAUGUCUGAGCUCUUCUGCUCAACCUCCUUCCAGCUCUCUAUUUCCCAGUCUUCAUGAUGGGUAUCAAGAAAAGGGAAAAUAAGAAAGACUUGGCAUUUGAGUUUUGAAGGUUAGAGCUGCAUAUUUGGCGAUCAAGAGCUCUCAAACUGCACCUGGAUACUAAUUCUGAAUGGAAGCUUACAAUUGUAAGAAUGUAAGACAUCAGACCCUAAAGAACCGAAGUUGUUAUUUCUGUGGAAGAGCAGCCAACCUAUUCUUACAGCUGAAACAAGGAAUCUGGCCUGCAAACAGUCUGUUAAGGCAUUCUCCAAGUUUCAAAACAAGAGUACACCAUUUUGAAGGCCUAUAAAUAGAAAGAAUUUUUCAAAUAUUAAUUCAGUAAUGACCUCUGUCUUUGGAAAAGAUAAUUGCAAUGUGUUACUGUGAACCAAUUUAAACCUGUAUUUCUCAUUGCAUUCAAUAUUUAAUUUUACUUUUUAUCAUUAUAUAUCAACAGUUCUUUCUGGAGCAAAGCAAUCUUAUUUGACUUUUUUUUUAACCUUGUAGUGCACACACACGUAUGUGCAGGGUUAUUUAAACAAGGAAACAUUUACAUCAAAAUAUGCAAAGAGUUAUCCUGGAAUAGAAAUGCUGAAAAUAUAUUUUCAAGAAGUUUUAAAAUUCUAGGCUGGCCUCAAUGUAUUCAGUAGCAUGUCAGAAACAGAAAAAAAGUUUAAUCUCUCCAUUUGCUUAUUCCUAUUAACAUAUAUAGAAAAAAAAGUUGCUCUAAACCUAAUGCCUAUGCAAUAUGUUUGUUUCCUGAUGCUGAUGGUAAAUCAUAACUGGGCACUUGGUUAUAUUUUUUAAUGUUCUACAUUUCUAGCACUGCUACUGUGUUCACAACGAGCUUUAUAUCUGACAGUAAUUUUAUUUUCAGGUUCAGUCAUAUGAUGCCUUUCUAUAGGAAUAGGUUCUAUCACAGGAGCAAAUUAUUUGAAUCUAGUUUAACAGACUCAGCAAUUCACCUCAGUUUUAUCUUGGGCAUUUUGUAUUCCUUUGCCUAAACCUAGUGGCUAUGUAACAAUUCAAUUACCAAAGUCCUUCAUCCAGAAAGUGCCGUUGAUUUCCAGUAAUUCUUAUUCUGUUUGAUGUCUUUUUUUUUCCUCCUAGUUUAACACAUGGCAGUUGGUGUUGACUGAGUUUAAAAUCUUGAAAUAAGCCUGGCACUGUGUCAGUACAUGGGUUAAAAAAUGAAACAAAAAUAUUUAAUAAAAUAUACACUAGAAAUGGAAAAUAAGAUUAGCAGUGGCAUUUCUUGUCAUAAAGGCAUUUUCUGUCUAUGCACACAAAAUAAAACAAGCUCAGUGCAGCUGAAGAAGAGAGGAAAGAGAGAUGGUAUAAACUGAAAGAUGAAAAGGCAGAGAGUGAGUGUACAGAAGCAUGUUGAGAGCAUGCAGCCAGCUGGCAAGAAAAGGCAACUCGAAGAGCCUCAGAAGGUAAAACCUCAGUUGGCAGAUAAAGUGGGUAAGAAGCAAGUUUUGAAAUAAAGUAGCAAUAGCAUAAGCAACUUGAAGGAAGAUGAAAAGAGCAAGGUGAUAAAAGUAUGGAAGAGUCUUUGGAGAUUAUUAGUAAUUUUAGGGAAUUACAGUGAUGAAAAGUUAUAAGGGAAAAAGACUUUACCUAUUCUUUAAUAAAAGAAAAUUACCUGUCAAAAUCUGUCUGCAUAGACACUAGUAUUAGAUUCUCUUUCUUCAAGAAAAAGGCAUGUCUGCUGGUCAGAUUGAGGUUCAUCUAUCCUCCAUUUCUCUAAAUAAUGUUU
This is a long non-coding RNA of Symphalangus syndactylus (siamang), 2022 nucleotides long. RefSeq lists it as uncharacterized. Lineage: Eukaryota; Metazoa; Chordata; Mammalia; Primates; Hylobatidae. The record is from RefSeq and is a predicted model, not a curated record.